GCAAGUCGAACGAGAACUUCCUUGCUUGCAAGGAAAAGUAAAGUGGCGCACGGGUGAGUAACGCGUGGGUAAUCUACCUUCGAAUCGGGGAUAACAUUGCGAAAGCGAUGCUAAUACCGGAUAAUAUUUUUGUUUCUUUGGAAGUAGAAAUCAAAGAUGGCCUCUUCUUGAAAGCUAUUGUUUGGAGAUGAGCCCGCGUACCAUUAGCUGGUUGGUGGGGUAAAGGCCUACCAAGGCAACGAUGGUUAGCUGGUCUGAGAGGAUGAUC
Molecule: ribosomal RNA, 268 nt
Filed under: uncultured bacterium
Lineage: Bacteria
Description: partial 16S ribosomal RNA
Rfam family: Bacterial small subunit ribosomal RNA
Source: RNAcentral